RNAcentral lists this ribosomal RNA (324 nucleotides) under Desulfallas thermosapovorans DSM 6562. The record is from RNAcentral. Lineage: Bacteria; Bacillati; Bacillota; Clostridia; Eubacteriales; Desulfallaceae.
CCGGUACUAAUAGGUCGAGGGCUUGACCAGCAAAAGGCGGAGGUUGGAAAUUGGAGGUUAGAAGUUGGAAAGACUACUAGCGCCAAGGAUAAUCCAACUAAAGUGAAAAAGCCUGGGCUUUAAAAAAACAAAUCGCUGUGCAGUUUUGAAGGGAUAAGGAGUUUGGUUAUCCAAUUUCCAAUUUCUAAAUUCAAACGUCUAAUAAGUUUUCCGGUGACCAUACUGGAGAGGAUACACCCGUUCCCAUCUCGAACACGGAAGUUAAGCUCUCUAAGGCCGAUGGUACUUGGGCUUAUGCCCCGGGAGAGUAGGUAGUUGCCGGAA